Molecule: ribosomal RNA, 533 nt
Filed under: uncultured Pseudomonadota bacterium
Lineage: Bacteria; Pseudomonadati; Pseudomonadota
Description: bacterial SSU rRNA
Rfam family: Bacterial small subunit ribosomal RNA
Source: RNAcentral
AUUGAACGCUGGCGGCAUGCUUUACACAUGCAAGUCGAACGGUAACAGGCCUUCGGGUGCUGACGAGUGGCGAACGGGUGAGUAAUGCAUCGGAACGUGCCCAGAGGUGGGGGAUAACGCAGCGAAAGCUGUGCUAAUACCGCAUGUGAUCUGAGGAUGAAAGCGGGGGACCAAGCAGCAAUGUUUGGCCUCGCGCCUCUGGAGCGGCCGAUGUCAGAUUAGGUAGUUGGUGGGGUAAAGGCCUACCAAGCCGACGAUCUGUAGCUGGUCUGAGAGGACGACCAGCCACACUGGGACUGAGACACGGCCCAGACUCCUACGGGAGGCAGCAGUGGGGAAUUUUGGACAAUGGGCGCAAGCCUGAUCCAGCAAUGCCGCGUGCGGGAAGAAGGCCUUCGGGUUGUAAACCGCUUUUGUACGGAACGAAAAGGCUCUGGCUAAUACCUGGGGCUGAUGACGGUACCGUAAGAAUAAGCACCGGCUAGCUACGUGCCAGCAGCCGCGGUAAUACGUAGGGUGCGAGCGUUAAUCGG